AUUUUUUUUAUAAAAAAAAUCAAUUAUCUUUUAUUUUGCCGAAACUAUUCUUCUCAUAUGGGCUAACUUCAAAUACCACUCUAGUGGUUUCGCACUUUCUCACUUUCGUACUCUAUAAUUUAAAGUAUAUUAAAUUAGUAUCCUGUGAUUUCAUUUUUAUCUUUUCGUCAGUUUCUCCGUUAAUAUUUUGUUAAAUUAUGUACAAAAAACUUCAGAUAUCUCAACCAGAUUUAUCGAAUUUUUACUUUAGUACCCUUUAGUUUUAACUUUGUCAUUGAUUUAACGAAAAAAAUUAGUGAAAUUGAUAAUAAAAAAAUAAAAAUGAAACCAUAUGGCACUAAAUUGAUACACUUUAAACCACAGGGUACUAAAGUGAGAAAGUGUAAAACCAUAGAAAUGGUAUUUGAAGUUUUCCCUUCUUAUAUUAAAGGUUUGAUUUUCUUCUUAAAAUUUAGGGGCAAUUGCUUAUAUAUUCCUGAAAAGUUUCCUACUUUCUGAUUUACCCCUCUUAGAAGGUUAAUAUUGAAAAUACCCUUUCUACGUUCCAACCUAUUUCUAAUAUAUCCUUAGAGUUAAAAUCUGUUAAUUAACCUGUUAUCUCUGUAAAAUUAUUAUUUUGCUCUUUCAAAUAUACCCUUUCACCAUCACUGACUUUCUUAUUUGCCCAUAAAGUCAUGGGCAUAAAAAGUAUUUUGACUUUUGGUCUUUUCCAAUAUACCCUCCUAUCGUCACCAACAUUUCUUAUUUGCCCUUAAGUUAAGGGCAAAAUUGGUAUUUUAAUUUUUUUUUAACUGUGGUAGAUAUUUAACUCAUGUUUAACCGAAGCUAAGUUAACAGAAGAUAACUGCGGGGGUAUUUUACAAUAACGGUGGAACAUAUGAGGAUUAUUUAAAAAAAAUAUAAUAAAUAAUUUGAAUAUUUUUAAACGUAUGAGAGGUAUAUAGUCAAUUAUCCCGAAAAUUUAUCAUAAGCGGACCGAACCAGUACACGAGCAUCUGUAUAAAUAUGUAAC
Molecule: long non-coding RNA, 1012 nt
Filed under: Ananas comosus (pineapple)
Lineage: Eukaryota; Viridiplantae; Streptophyta; Magnoliopsida; Poales; Bromeliaceae
Description: long non-coding RNA (ACOM_LNC011954)
Source: RNAcentral